GUUAAAGAAUGCUCGCCCAUAAAUAAAGAUAAAACUUAACUAGGCUGUAGAAAGCAACAGUUAAAACUAAAAUAUACUACGAAAGUGACUUUAUUGUAGCUGAUUACACGAUAGCUAAGACCCAAACUGGGAUUAGAUACCCCACUAUGCUUAGCCCUAAACUUAGGUAUUUAAUCUAACAAGAAUACCCGCCAGAGAACUACUAGCAAUAGCUUAAAACUCAAAGGACUUGGCGGUGCUUUAUAUCCCUCUAGAGGAGCCUGUUCUGUAAUCGAUAAACCCCGAUAAACCUCACCACCCCUUGCUAAUUCAGCUUAUAUACCGCCAUCUUCAGCAAACCCUAAAAAGGUGUAAUAGUAAGCACAAGUAUAAGACAUAAAAACGUUAGGUCAAGGUGUAGCUUAUGAGGUGGGAAGAAAUGGGCUACAUUUUCUACCAACUAGAACAUUUACGAAAGUUAUUAUGAAACUAAUAACCAAAGGAGGAUUUAGUAGUAAGUUAAGAAUAGAGUGCUUAACUGAAUCAGGCCAUGAAGCACGCACACACCGCCCGUCACCCUCUUCAAGUACUUUAGACUAUCACUAAUCUAUAAUUACAAGUCACCCAGUAUUAGAAGAGAUAAGUCGUAACAAGGUAAGCAUACUGGAAAGUGUGCUUGGAUGAAU
RNAcentral lists this ribosomal RNA (665 nucleotides) under Sorex minutus (Eurasian pygmy shrew). RNAcentral's name for it is "partial 12S ribosomal RNA". It matches the Rfam family "Bacterial small subunit ribosomal RNA", at positions 624 to 1533 of the family's 1533-position model. Lineage: Eukaryota; Metazoa; Chordata; Mammalia; Eulipotyphla; Soricidae. The record is from RNAcentral.